UACAGAGGGUGCAAGCGUUAAUCGGAGUUACUGGGCGUAAAGGGCGCGUAGGCGGUUAUUUAAGUGAGAUGUGAAAUCCCUGGGCUUAACCUAGGAACUGCAUCUCAUACUGGAUGACUAGAGUAUUGUAGAGGGUAGUGGAAUUUCCGGUGUAGCGGUGAAAUGCGUAGAGAUCGGAAGGAACACCAGUGGCGAAGGCGGCUACCUGGACAAAUACUGACGCUGAGGCGCGAGAGCGUGGGGAGCAAACAGG
Molecule: ribosomal RNA, 253 nt
Filed under: uncultured bacterium
Lineage: Bacteria
Description: partial 16S ribosomal RNA
Rfam family: Bacterial small subunit ribosomal RNA
Source: RNAcentral